RNAcentral lists this ribosomal RNA (460 nucleotides) under uncultured bacterium. RNAcentral's name for it is "partial 16S ribosomal RNA". It matches the Rfam family "Bacterial small subunit ribosomal RNA", at positions 338 to 795 of the family's 1533-position model. The record is from RNAcentral.
CCUACGGGCGGCAGCAGUGAGGAAUAUUGGUCAAUGGACGAGAGUCUGAACCAGCCAAGUAGCGUGAAGGAUGACUGCCCUAUGGGUUGUAAACUUCUUUUGUCGGGGAACAAAGGCGUCCACGUGUGGACUGAUGAGUGUACCCGAAGAAAAAGCAUCGGCUAACUCCGUGCCAGCAGCCGCGGUAAUACGGAGGAUGCGAGCGUUAUCCGGAUUUAUUGGGUUUAAAGGGUGCGUAGGCGGACAGUCAAGUCAGCGGUAAAAAUGCGGUGCUCAACGCCGUACAGCCGUUGAAACUGGCAGUCUUGAGUGGGCGAGAAGUAUGCGGAAUGCGUGGUGUAGCGGUGAAAUGCAUAGAUAUCACGCAGAACUCCGAUUGCGAAGGCAGCAUACCGGCGCCCUACUGACGCUGAGGCACCAAAGCGUGGGUAUCGAACAGGAUUAGAUACCCCGGGUAGUC